AACCUCCGCAAUGUGAGAAAUCGCGACGGGGGGAUCCCAAGUGCCAUUCUUAACGGGAUGGCUUUUCAUUAGUGUAAAGAGCUUUUGGAAUAAGAGCUGGGCAAGACCGGUGCCAGCCGCCGCGGUAACACCGGCAGCUCUAGUGGUAGCAAUUUUUAUUGGGCCUAAAGCGUCCGUAGCCGGUUUAAUAAGUCUCUGGUGAAAUCCUGUAGCUUAACUAUGGGAAUUGCUGGAGAUACUAUUAGACUUGAGACCGGGAGAGGUUAGAGGUACUCCCAGGGUAGAGGUGAAAUUCUGUAAUCCUGGGAGGACCGCCUGUUGCGAAGGCGUCUAACUGGAACGGUUCUGACGGUGAGGGACGAAAGUUAGGGGCGCGAACCGGA
Molecule: ribosomal RNA, 383 nt
Filed under: uncultured archaeon
Lineage: Archaea
Description: bacterial SSU rRNA
Rfam family: Archaeal small subunit ribosomal RNA
Source: RNAcentral